RNAcentral lists this ribosomal RNA (253 nucleotides) under uncultured bacterium. RNAcentral's name for it is "partial 16S ribosomal RNA". It matches the Rfam family "Bacterial small subunit ribosomal RNA", at positions 524 to 776 of the family's 1533-position model. The record is from RNAcentral.
UACGUAGGGGGCAAGCGUUGUCCGGAUUUAUUGGGCGUAAAGAGCGUGUAGGCGGCCAGGUAGGUCGGUUGUGAAAACUCGAGGCUCAACCUCGAGAUGUCGACCGAAACCAUCUGGCUAGAGUCCGGAAGAGGAGAAUGGAAUUCCCGGUGUAGCGGUGAAAUGCGCAGAUAUCGGGAAGAACACCCGUGGCGAGGGCGGUUCUCUGGGACGGUACUGACGCUGAGACGCGAAAGCGUGGGGAGCGAACAGG